RNAcentral lists this ribosomal RNA (758 nucleotides) under uncultured bacterium. RNAcentral describes it as "bacterial SSU rRNA". It matches the Rfam family "Bacterial small subunit ribosomal RNA", at positions 28 to 776 of the family's 1533-position model. The record is from RNAcentral.
GAUGAACGCUAGCUACAGGCUUAACACAUGCAAGUCGAGGGGCAUCAGGAAGAAAGCUUGCUUUCUUUGCUGGCGACCGGCGCACGGGUGAGUAACACGUAUCCAACCUGCCCUUUACUCGGGGAUAGCCUUUCGAAAGAAAGAUUAAUACCCGAUGGGAUAAUUAUUCCGCAUGGUUUGAUUAUUAAAGGAUUCCGGUAAAGGAUGGGGAUGCGUUCCAUUAGGUUGUUGGUGAGGUAACGGCUCACCAAGCCUUCGAUGGAUAGGGGUUCUGAGAGGAAGGUCCCCCACAUUGGAACUGAGACACGGUCCAAACUCCUACGGGAGGCAGCAGUGAGGAAUAUUGGUCAAUGGACGAAAGUCUGAACCAGCCAAGUAGCGUGCAGGAUGACGGCCCUCUGGGUUGUAAACUGCUUUUAGUUGGGAAUAAAAAGAGGGACGUGUCCCUUAUUGUAUGUACCAUCAGAAAAAGGACCGGCUAAUUCCGUGCCAGCAGCCGCGGUAAUACGGAAGGUCCAGGCGUUAUCCGGAUUUAUUGGGUUUAAAGGGAGCGCAGGCGGCGGCGUAAGUCAGUUGUGAAAUCGUGCGGCUUAACCGUGCAAUUGCAGUUGAUACUGCGUCGCUUGAGUGCACACAGGGAUGUUGGAAUUCAUGGUGUAGCGGUGAAAUGCUUAGAUAUCAUGAAGAACUCCGAUCGCGAAGGCAUAUGUCCGGAGUGCAACUGACGCUGAGGCUCGAAAGUGUGGGUAUCAAACAGG